Non-coding RNA from Tinamus guttatus (white-throated tinamou), 99 nucleotides. NCBI's taxonomy places the organism in Eukaryota, Metazoa, Chordata, Aves, Tinamiformes, Tinamidae. The record is from RefSeq and is a predicted model, not a curated record.
AAAAGUUGAAGUAGCUGAGGAAAUCUGGGUCUUGCAAGGAUAGUGUAAACUCAGAGUAAAAGCUAAGGUGAAAAAAAGUAGAGGGCAUGGGGAAAGAGA